RNAcentral lists this small nuclear RNA (86 nucleotides) under Castor canadensis (American beaver). Lineage: Eukaryota; Metazoa; Chordata; Mammalia; Rodentia; Castoridae. The record is from RNAcentral.
UUGCUUUAGCAGCUCAUAUACUAAAAUUGGAACAAUACAGAGACGAUUACAAGGAUGAUAUGGAAAUUCGUGUAUUCCAUAUUUUA